RNAcentral lists this ribosomal RNA (253 nucleotides) under uncultured bacterium. RNAcentral's name for it is "partial 16S ribosomal RNA". It matches the Rfam family "Bacterial small subunit ribosomal RNA", at positions 524 to 776 of the family's 1533-position model. The record is from RNAcentral.
UACGUAGGUGGCAAGCGUUACUCGGAAUUACUAGGCGUAAAGAGCAGGUAGGCGGUUGGAUAAGUUUCUUGUGAAAGCUCCCGGCUUAACUGGGAGAGGUCAAGGAAUACUGUCUGACUUGAGUGCGGUAGGGGAAGCUGGAAUUCCCGGUGUAGCGGUGAAAUGCGUAGAUAUCGGGAGGAAUACCAAUGGCGAAGGCAAGCUUCUGGGCCGUCACUGACGCUGAGCUGCGAAAGCUAGGGGAGCAAACAGG